ACACAUGCAAGUCGAACGAGAGAUGAGGAGCUUGCUCUUCAAAUCGAGUGGCGAACGGGUGAGUAACGCGUGAGGAACCUGCCUCAAAGAGGGGGACAACAGUUGGAAACGACUGCUAAUACCGCAUAAGCCCACGGCUCGGCAUCGAGCAGAGGGAAAAGGAGCAAUCCGCUUUGAGAUGGCCUCGCGUCCGAUUAGCUAGUUGGUGAGGUAACGGCCCACCAAGGCGACGAUCGGUAGCCGGACUGAGAGGUUGAACGGCCACAUUGGGACUGAGACACGGCCCAGACUCCUACGGGAGGCAGCAGUGGGGAAUAUUGCACAAUGGGGGAAACCCUGAUGCAGCGACGCCGCGUGGAGGAAGAAGGUCUUCGGAUUGUAAACUCCUGUUGUUGAGGAAGAUAAUGACGGUACUCAACAAGGAAGUGACGGCUAACUACGUGCCAGCAGCCGCGGUAAAACGUAGGUCACAAGCGUUGUCCGGAAUUACUGGGUGUAAAGGGAGCGCAGGCGGGAGAACAAGUUGGAAGUGAAAUCCAUGGGCUCAACCCAUGAACUGCUUUCAAAACUGUUUUUCUUGAGUAGUGCAGAGGUAGGCGGAAUUCCCGGUGUAGCGGUGGAAUGCGUAGAUAUCGGGAGGAACACCAGUGGCGAAGGCGGCCUACUGGGCACCAACUGACGCUGAGGCUCGAAAGUGUGGGUAGCAAACAGGAUUAGAUACCCUGGUAGUCCACACCG
Molecule: ribosomal RNA, 738 nt
Filed under: uncultured bacterium
Lineage: Bacteria
Description: bacterial SSU rRNA
Rfam family: Bacterial small subunit ribosomal RNA
Source: RNAcentral